RNAcentral lists this ribosomal RNA (440 nucleotides) under uncultured bacterium. RNAcentral's name for it is "partial 16S ribosomal RNA". It matches the Rfam family "Bacterial small subunit ribosomal RNA", at positions 338 to 795 of the family's 1533-position model. The record is from RNAcentral.
CCUACGGGAGGCAGCAGUGGGGAAUAUUGCACAAUGGGGGAAACCCUGAUGCAGCGACGCCGCGUGGGGGAAGAAGGGUUUCGGAUUGUAAAGCCCUUUUAGCAGGGAAGAAAAUGACGGUAUCUAAAGAAUAAGCACCGGCUAACUCCGUGCCAGCAGCCGCGGUAAUACGUAGGGGGCAAGCGUUAGUCGGAAUCACUGGGCGUAAAGGGAGCGUAGGCGGUAUUGCAAGUCAGGUGUGAAAGCCCAGGGCUUAACCCUAGAACUGCUUUUGAAACUGUGAAUCUGGAGUUUGGGAGAGGUAGGUGGAAUUCUUGGUGUAGGGGUGAAAUGCGUAGAUAUCAAGAGGAACACUCGUGGCGAAGGCGACCUGCUGGACCAUAACUGACGCUGAGGCGCGAAAGCGUGGGGAGCAAACAGGAUUAGAUACCCUAGUAGUC